UCUCCUUGUCCCAGUGAAAUCAACAAGCGGAUAUAAAGGGACACGAAGGCGCAGAGAUAUCAUCAAACUGGAAACGUUCUUCUACUAACUCUGAUCCGGAUUUUAAAACUUCCUUUAUCAGUUUUGUCUCAUGAAUUACAGCCAGUGUGUUAUUGACUUACGCUUUCUGAAAACAUCGUUUACAAAACAAUGGAGCAUAGCGUUUUUAGACUUUUUCCCUUUGUUUUGAGAUUUACAUUUUGAAAACCUACGAAACUGUC
RNAcentral lists this long non-coding RNA (260 nucleotides) under Brassica napus (rape). Its description in RNAcentral is "long non-coding RNA (BNAP_LNC025182)". The record is from RNAcentral. Lineage: Eukaryota; Viridiplantae; Streptophyta; Magnoliopsida; Brassicales; Brassicaceae.